Molecule: non-coding RNA, 45 nt
Filed under: Schistosoma margrebowiei
Lineage: Eukaryota; Metazoa; Platyhelminthes; Trematoda; Strigeidida; Schistosomatidae
Source: RNAcentral
ACCCAGCUGACGAGUCCCAACUGGGACGAAACGCACAUCAUGGAU